GUGCUCUCUUCAGUAGCACACAUACUAAAAUUGGAAUGAUAUAGAGAAGACUAGCAUGGCCGCUGCAUAAGGAUGACUUGCAAAUUUGUGAAGUGUUCUGUAUUUUU
Small nuclear RNA from Dama dama (fallow deer), 107 nucleotides. NCBI's taxonomy places the organism in Eukaryota, Metazoa, Chordata, Mammalia, Artiodactyla, Cervidae. The record is from RefSeq and is a predicted model, not a curated record.